Molecule: unclassified non-coding RNA, 729 nt
Filed under: Hevea brasiliensis (rubber tree)
Lineage: Eukaryota; Viridiplantae; Streptophyta; Magnoliopsida; Malpighiales; Euphorbiaceae
Source: RNAcentral
CUUAGUUGCUCCCUUCAAAUGGGAGACUUUGGAUUAUGGCACCAUUUAGUGAUAACAUGAAACAUUUUUGGGGAGUAACAGGGAGGGAUCAAAGAAAUAACCUAUUUAAAGAUGUGUUCAUCACCUAUUAGUGAGAGCAGGAAAUAUAGGUGCUGCUGCUGGUGUGGCGUCAAAUGCUGCCUGCUAUUGUUAGGAAGCCUGAGUUCUCCGAGUUAUAUAGGUUAGGACCGAUUAUUGUUUGGGAUCACAAAAUAUUUUUUGAAUUGUUGAAAUCUUUGGAUCUGGAGACCUUUAACAGGACAGGCGUUAGGUGCGUUAUGAAGUGGGAGACACUGCAGAAAUAUGAAGGAUUUCAGGGAGUGUUUGGUUUAGCUGUUGGAUGCAGCUGAUGGCGGAUGGGUAUCCAAACAGUUGAAUUUAAGUGUUUGGUAAAACUCUAAAAAAUUAGCCGAUAACUGAAAAGUAGCUGAUAGUAUACUUAUCAGCUGCAGAUUCUAUCAGCUCUAAAAUAGGAGCUGUUUAGAACUGCUCUAUAUAUUUUUUUAUUUUUUGAUUAAAAUAUCCCUACUUUAAUAUUUAUGCAGUGUCCUUCACUGUAUUAUCUUCUUGCUCCUAUUUGAAUUAAAAUACCGAUUUCUUUUCAAUAUGUUAUUUUCCUUAUUUUAUUUUCUUGCUUCUAUUUUCAUCGAAGCUGUGAUUUCUUUUCAAUUUCUGUGCCAUCAUUGUGUC